RNAcentral lists this long non-coding RNA (5123 nucleotides) under Sus scrofa (pig). Its description in RNAcentral is "lncRNA (ENSSSCG00000053410.1)". The record is from RNAcentral. Lineage: Eukaryota; Metazoa; Chordata; Mammalia; Artiodactyla; Suidae.
GUUCCCAGGCUAGGGGUUAAAUCGGGGCUGCAGCUGCCAGCCUACACCACAGCCACAACAAUGCCAGAUCCGAGCCUCAUCUGUGACCUACACCACAGCUCAUGGCAACACCAGAUCCUUAACCCGCUGAGCAAGGCCAGGGAUUGAACCCACAACCUCAUGGUUCUUAGUUGGAUUCAUUUCCACUGCACCACAAUGGGAACUCCCUGAGUGAAUUUCAGAUUAAUCCAUGGGCGUUGAUGUUCUAUCUCAACUCCAGAGAGCAUGCUUAGUGGCUGGGAGGCAUCUGUCCUAAAAUCCCAGCAUCCCUUUCAGAAGCAGCAACACUAUCCUAGGAGAUGAAAGCCCAACCCCUUUCUUACUGAGGCUUUCAAAAGUCCCCUUAGAACUUGGACAACUUGACUUCCCAAAAUUGUGGAGUAGAAAAAUAACUUAGAAGAUUGGCAUGCAAACAAAUAUUCAAGUUCUCUAUAAACAUCUGUCUUAAAACCCUCUAUAAACUCUUGCCUUCAAGCCCUCUAUAAACUCCUGUCUGGAUUUGUAAAUAAAAACCAUAUAAGGAUUCUCCAGUAAAUACUGGAGGGAGAAAAGUAUAGACAUUUCUGAGAGCUCAUUUCUACCUAGUUGAGCAAAGCUUAUAAAAGUUAUAUAUACUGUGUGUUCUGUCACCUUUUCAUUGCUUUGUAACCUCAGUCAUAAACCCAAAACAAUGCUUAUUUGCCAGUUCUUUCCCUGCGUGUUUCUGCAGUUUCCAACCAAAGGUUGAUGCAAAUGGUGGAAAAGAAGUGUAUUGAAUAAAAUUAGAAAGUUCUAAAAAUAGAGCUUUUUUAAAAGAUAAAAUGGGCUGCCCUAAGCAAUAGUGAGUCUCCUAGCACUGGAAGUAUGAAAGCAGAGAUUAUAAGUGUAUCUGCUGAAUGAGCUGAAAAGAAAUACUUAAAAUCAGGUGGAGAAUUGGGUUAGACAACCUCUAAGUCCCUCCAAAUCAGAAGUUCUAGGAAUUGAAGACAUCCAUUCAUUCAAAGCUCUCCUAAAGGCCUAGUCUGUGCCAGAUUGUGUCCUUGGGAGAGAUGAAAUAAACCAAGCCCCUGGGGACCCUCAGUGAGUCCCAGCUUUGUAAUAAGAUGGACAAGCCAGUGGCUAACUCAAGUGCAAGGCAAAAUGAUGCAUGUCUUAGAGAACUGACAACAGCCAGUUGUGCAGAGGUAGCUGAGAUGCAGAACCACCUGGGAUUAGAGAAAGUUCCCCAUAGCCUGCUUCCUUGGACUGGAGGGCUCUGGCUGUGGGGGAAAUAUCCACGUACAAUAAUAUAUUUUAUUGAGCUCUUAUUUGGUGCUGGUCACUUAAGCUGUCAUUUAACCUACAUAACAGUCCAUUCAGUUAGGCACUAUUGUUUUCCUCCAUUUAAUGUUGGAUAAAAUCAAGGGUAAAAAGGUUAAGGAAGAGGCAUGAAGCCAGGUGUCGUCUUCCAGAUGUUGCUCUUAGUGCUGUUCUGUUUCCUGGGCUAGUUCCUGUCACUUUCUGAGACUCAGUGUCCCUAUAUGAACAAUGAAGGGUUUGGACCAGGCCCUUUGUCAUGUCCAGUAUUCUGGAAACACCAGGAAUAAUCUACAUUUCUCCUUCCCAGAUGAGGCUGGGAGGAAAGGAGGGCCUCCUUGGCCAGGCUGAUGUUGCACCCAGUCUCUCGGGUAAGGGCUCCUAGGCCUUGAGCUCUACAGGAUCUCAGAGAGACUCCUCACACAUAGAUUUAGCUUCCUAAGCCUGCCUAUGAAUAUGGAACAGAGAAGGAAAGCCUUGCUCCAUGUGGCCCCGAUACCACCAAGAAUCAUCCAUAAAUCCCUUUGACUUCCAGCAGGAGUCAGAUCUGGUUUUUCAGAGCCAGGUCAUGACAGAAGAGACAGCUUCACAUGCCCUGGGAAUGAGGGCCAAGCAGGGAAUGCCUGGUGCCUGUGGGGAAGAGGCUCCCAUUAAUGUGGGCAGGCACAGGGCCAGGUGAGGAGCUUUGAGUCCGCCAGGCAGCCCAUGGUUGUGCGUCAGACUGAACUGCAGCCUCGAAGGUGUGGACAUUUAUAAUGUCAGUUUAGCUGAGCUGGAACUGUGUUUCCUGGAAUUCCCUUCUCUGCUUAAUUCCAGGUUAGCUCUGGUCACAGGAACAUUUUGUAGGAGUUUUUGAAGGUACAAAUGAAGUAACCUUCUUCUUUUGGUUCAGAAGGCAGGGCACAAGGCCUCACAUACCUUGCUGCUUUCCUGCUAGCUCACCUGGGUGGCAUGGGGCAGCAUCCAGACCUGCAGGCCACAGCUCCUGCUGGUCCUAUCUCUUCUAUUUCCUGACCCCUGGGUGAGUUGAGGGUUUCACUCCACCAGGAAAGGCAAAACUCCUCUAAGUCAUCCCAUCAUCAAAGUUGGAGCCUUGGGUUCCACGUGGAUUCCAUACCUCCUUUCCAUCAUUCCUUCCCAACUGCCUGCCCUGCUGACUUUAGGCUCCAGUGUAAGACACAGAAGUAAUAGCCUCACUUUGACCAGUUCCUAUGUUACAUAAGGUGGAAUCCCUGUAGUCAUUCUCUUAUUGUAUACAUUCUGCUAGUGGCUCUGCUUCUCUGACUGAACCCUGAAUGAUAUGCAGGGGAACAGGUAAGAGGAGGAACAAGGCUGAACCCUGGGGGGACUGAGGGAGGAAUGGGCUGAUGCCAGGAUCAGAGCAGAAGUCAGGUUCCCGGAAGCAGAAUCUGAUUAAGCCUCUGAGCUCCUGAAUGUGGGCUAAUUGGCUGCCUCGUAGAAGUACUGUUCUCAAGACCUGAAGAAAACUGAGCCCUUCAAGGAACAAGUGGCUUUGUUUGUUGGGAGGGCUGGGAUGAGUUGAAGUCACAGCAGGUCCUUGCAUGGCUUAGAUACAGCCCUACAACUACUAUAGAUACACAUUCACGCUUGUGCAUAAAUUCACAGCAUAUAUAGUCUUCCCUAGCCAAGCAGAACUGUCAGAGCUUUCUUUUAUUCCUACCUCCCUUUUCCUUCUGGCAAUGCUGGAAACUUUAAUGACUCUUUUAAGCCCUAAAAUAUAAUAUAUUGAGACUGAGACUCUAGGGAGGUAGCCUCUGGAUAAAAGACUAACUCCCUUCUCCUCUCUCCCUUUCUGGAGAAGGGCAACAGCAGGUUAGUGAGGCUGGAGGAGUCUGGAGGGAGCAUUUGAGGCCACCAGGUAAAGGACGGCUUGUGCACCUGAAGGGGCCCAGCGUGUGUGGUCCUAGGAGGGCCAGCCAAUCCUCCUGGCCUUAGAGGACCUGCAGGAGACUAGGAAGUAGGACAAAUACUCCUGGUCCCUGCAGUGGAGAGGAUGCCCCUUGGAUCUGGGAAGAGAUUUGGUCAGAAGCUCCCUCCCUCUGCUUAGGAGAAGAACAGAGCCUGGCCAUUUUGUUCGCCACUGCUUAACGAGACCAGAACCUCCUAGGCCUUACCCAACAGUCGACCCAACGACAUCAUGAACAAGCUAAAGAAAAAAAUAACCAUUUUAACCAGUGCUCAGUAACCAGAACAGAGCAGACAAAGCAGAGCCUGAAUAGCAGGGGCGCCACUGGAGCAGGACAUUGGCAGAGUCAAAUGUGAAAGCUAAACAGCUGGAAGGAAAACUCUUAAAGAGAUCCCAUUAGAGAAUAAAAAGGACUUUCUGGGUCUAAAAAUGCAGCUUUCUCAUUGAGACUUUUAACUCAUUAACUGAAAGAAGAGAUAGUUUUUUUCUGAAAACACAUUUAGUAGCCUGAACAAGAAAUUCCUCACAGCAGAGCAACAAAUUCACAAAGACAAAAACCAUGAAGGGAAAAGAUAGAAGACUCUAGGAGGACAGGUACAGGAGACCUAGCUGGCAAGUAAUGUGAGUUCCAGAAGGAUAGAAAGGAAUAAAUAAAAUCAUCAUAAAAACUAAAGAAAUCAUAAAGAGUGUUUUUAUGUCUAGAAAGAUAAAUUUCAAAAUUAAAAGGGAUUUUCAAGUCCCAGACACAAUUUUUUCCAGUUUAUUGAACUAUAAUUGACAAAUAAAAAUUAUAUAUAUCUAAGGUGUACAGUGUGAUGUUUCGAUUUACAUAACCUUGUGAAAUGAUUGCCACAAUAUACCUAAUGUAUCCAUCACUCACAUGGUUAUAAUUUUUUGUGGUAACAACACCUAAGAUCUAUGCUCUUAGCAAAUUUCAAGGAUACAAUACUGUAUUAUUGUCUAUAGUUACCAUGCUGUAUAAUAGAUCUCCAGAAUGUAUUAAUCCUACAUAACUGAAAUUGUGUACUCUGACCAACAUCUCCCCAUACCCCCCACACCCCACCCACCAGGCCCCUAGACACAACUGACUAAAGAAAUAGACACUCUGACAUAGCUUGGUUUAAAAAAUAAAACAAAACUGAGUUUCAGUUUCCACACUGUGUAAUUACUAUCUUUUCCCUUGCAACUGACAGAUUAGAUAAAAAAGGGAGAAUAGAGACCAGACUAGAACCAAACUUUUCCAUCACAAAUAACUAGUUAGAAGAAUAACACCUAUGGGAUAAAUAAAGAUAUUUGCAGAUCUGCAAGGAUACUGAAGGUGUCACCCACAUAGCUUAUCCGAGGAACAUACUUGAGAAACUAUGCUAGCCAAAUGGCAGCUCCAGCAGAAAAAUUAAAAAUAGAAAAAUGCUGGUGAGCAACACUGGUAACCAUGUUGAUUCGUGGUUGGCAACCAUUCUGCUAAGUUGUUAAAUAUUUUUAAAAUUUGUGUAUAUGCAUGAAUGUAUGUAUAUGUAAAUAAAUAGUAUGACUGGGGAUUUUGUCAAAAGUUUUAAGUGAGGAAUUUUAGAACAGAAAAUAGUAGAGCUAAACCUAAUAACAGCUUUAACUAAAUAUUUUAAGUCACUGGAGUGAAACUUAGAAAUGAAAAAUAAAGAGAAAGUUGAGAGUAAAGAAACAAAAUCUAUCUAAAUAUUUCAUUUUAUUUUGCUAUUAGGAGAGAGGCAUAAGUAAAUAAAGCAAUUUGGUGGAAACAAGUUGAUAAUUACUAUCAUAUUCAACUAUAAGAGGUAAUAUAUGUAAUGAUGAUUCUUGGGAUGAAAAAAAGUAACCAUUUGCAGAGUUAGAAAGCAGAGAAAUGCUUCAAAAUUAACAUUUCCUU